Molecule: long non-coding RNA, 3191 nt
Filed under: Sarcophilus harrisii (Tasmanian devil)
Lineage: Eukaryota; Metazoa; Chordata; Mammalia; Dasyuromorphia; Dasyuridae
Description: lncRNA (ENSSHAG00000026019.1)
Source: RNAcentral
CUGUUGUGAAAAUUAAUAUCGUCUUUGGAUGACUCUUUGCUUUUAUAUCUGUUUUAUGGCUCAUGCCUUAAAAAAUAAGAAGCCACAAAUCUUCCUUUCCUUCUUCUGAUAGGCUAUUCUAAAGAAUGAGGAAAGGGAGAAAGAGUCGAUUUGAACAGUGUAAUUAAUUGGAAGUAUGUGCAAUUGAGAUGAUGUGAUUGAGGGGGAGGAGGAUUGUGUCAUGAUUUCUAACACCUGGAAAUGCAGUUCCUCUCUGCCUAGUUAAUUGUAAUGAAGACAUUAAUAGCCCCUAUGUUUUUGUCAAGUGAAUUUAAUAUAGUUGAACUGGCUUGAAGCAGGAUAGCCAAAAGAACUGGACCCAAAAGUUUAAGCUAUUAAAUAAUAAACUCUGAGGACAGGGACCUUGCUUUUGUAUUCUCCAUAGUGGUAUGAACAUACAUAGUAGGUGCCUGGUAAAUAUUCAUCAAAUUAAUAAGUCAAUUUUGGUUUAGUAGAAGGUUCUGUGAAAUGUAUAUUCUAUCACAUUGUGUGCCAGCUGAACCUAUGUCCAUAAUACUUGAUAAAUAUACUUGCCUCCUUCAUGAAUUCAUUAUGUUCACCCAUGAUUUUUAUAAGGGGGGAAGCUUUCUUGUUUUGUUAAUGGAAUUUGCAAAUGUAGUUAAAAGAUCUCUGGAAAAUAAUCUGUGGAAUCAACAGUCUGGUAAUGUGCCAUAUAAAUGUGAUGUCCAUUUUAAAUAACUGAGAGUUGUAUUUAUUUUCAUGUAUGUCAUAAUAUAUAUUAGUAAUCUUUGAGCUGUAUUUGAGGACUCCCUUUUUUUUUUUUUUGCACUUUGUCAUUGUAUGAAAGUGGUUUCCACAGAUGUUUGAAUUGAGAAAACAUUGAGAUGACUAUCUUUCUGCUUUGAUUUGCUAAUUCAGAUAGAGGUCAUUCUCUGCCUCAUUUCUUACUUAUCUUUAAAUCACUGAAUGGGUGUUGCCUUAAGUCAAACUGAGACCAGUUAAAGACCUUAACUUAAAAAGAUCAAGAUCUCUCCACUGGUCCCAGAUGCCUCCAAAGAAGAAAAUGAGACUGACUUUGCACAGGCCUUCAAUUUAGUUGCAUGUCCUGUCUCCCUGAUUUUAUGGUCCUUUUUGAGAAUGAAGGACAAAGAACAAUAGUUUACUAGUGCUCUGAACACCUAGAAGAUGAUCAAGUAUUGGUUCACAAGUGUGUUAUUAGCCAUUUGGUCUGGGAGGGAGGAAGUACCUAAAAAAAUAGUAGGCUUCCUAAAGGAAAUAAGAAUUGGUAAAUAGCCACACAAAAAUAGAGGAAAUUCAAAUUUUAAUAGCUGUUAAGUUUUGGUAUUGCAUAUAUGUAAAAGCAUCAAACUUCCACUACUUGUCAUAAAUGGUGGUACAUUUGGUUCAUUUAAUAGUAAAGUGAACCUAAGGAGGGAAAAAUUGAGUCGAAUAUGACAGUCAAAAGUUGAUAUCAAAGGAUGAAGUACUGGCCAAUUCCAAGAUAAUGAAGAGAUUUCACCUAGUGAUCAAGUCAGGCUAUUUUGUCACUUUUUAUUGCUUUCCCUUGAGCUAAUACUUGUUCAUCUUGACCAAAUCCCUAGUUAAUCCCACUUCAGUUCGUUGGUCCAUAAUUACCAAAAACAACUAGCUUGUAAAUAACUUGUGUAGAGGUACAGUCACUCGAAGCCCAUAGCUACCUGAUCUCCCAGCAUCUACAUACUAUUUGUGCUUUCCCCAGGUCAACACCACCACUUGGUGGCCAUUAUUGGGAAUUGUCACUGCAUGAUAGUUCGUUCUCUUCCUGGACACCUCGAGAUAAGUACUGUGUCUUCUGGUAGUUUGCCAUGUUCUUGAACAAUGUACACAUCAAUAAAAACAAAUUUGGAAACUAAUGCAAUAACCACCUAUGAAGCGAGAGGUCUCACGUUGAAGCACAUUCCUUAUUGAUGGAUAGGUGCUGAUGUAGAAUAAGAUGUUUUCAGAUGUGGCCAAUGAAGGAAUUUGUUUUACUUGACUGGAUAUUUAUUAUGAGGGCUUUGUUCUUGUUUGUUUUGUUUUCCAGGGUGGAAGGGAGGAUGGGAGAGGGAAAUAGAGGUGCUUCAUGGCAGUCCUCUGACAUGAAGGAGUCCCUCCUGGGAGGACACAGGGUUCUCCUACUGACCUUGCUGUGAGCUGGACUUAAACAGUGUCGAUGGGUUGAGCUCUUGUCCAGGACCCAGUUUAUUUACAUAAAAGUAUUGAUGGGCCAGCCAGAACCAUUGGCAAAAACAAACAAAAAAACCACUUUAAUGAGUUAAUAUCAUGUAAAACAAUGGGGGUUGAUUCAAUAUAAAUAUUUCAAGCCUUGAGGAAGAGGGGGAGCGAGAGAAGAUUAGGGGAUCUAAAGGAAGGAAAACUCGGGCAUACACUAACUCACAUAAGCCCUGGGCUGCAUUGGGGAGCAGAGAGACAUAGUUCCAUUUUGCAAAAAGGGGGGAUCCUCCAGAAGGAAGGGAUGUGUAUGCUGGAGGGGAGGGUAUGCUCCAAAGUGCCUAGAGAAUCUUUAGCUGUGAUUUUGGAUGCUGUCUCUGAAACAAUCCAAACUGCAUAUCGGGGGUCAGGACAAAAUAUUGCUUGGGAGUUUUGUUUGCAGGAAGAAAAACUGGUAGUAUACAAAAUAUUAUUUGGGAGACACAGCUAUACCAAUCUUCAAAAAACAUUGUGAAUAUUUUUCCCAUGAGUAUGUUCCAUGAGUAAGGCUUCCUUGACGGAAAAUUGUCAUGGUGCUCUCAAGAACCUCAGUCCCAAACUUCUAAGAUGUAACCAAAAAUAAAAUUAAAUUAAAAUGUCUUUAAAAUUUCUUAAUUGAGAAAAAGCAGGAAAAAACAGAAGGGGAGAGAAGCAAAAUAGCCUUGAAAGCUACAAGUUGAACUUACAUAUGUUAAAGGAAAAUCAAGCUAUAAAUAGAGAUCUGAAGUUUUAUUUAUAAUCCUAUCUCUGUUUUAUUAUAUAUAUAUAUAUAUAUAUAUAUAUAUAUUCAUUUCUUUGGUGAACAUCAAGUGCAGAAUUAAAAUUUUAUUUAUCUACCUAUCUUUCUAUAUAUGUACAUGAAUACAGAGAGAGAGAGUGUGUGUGUGUGUGUGUGUGUGAAACACCCUCAGGAUAAGGGCUGUCUUUGCUUUUGUAUUUGUAUCCCUUAAUGUGCUUGCCAC